AACGUAGGGUGCAAGCGUUGUCCGGAUUUAUUGGGUUUAAAGGGUGCGUAGGUGGCUUUUUAAGUCAUGGGUGAAAGCCCGCAGCUCAACUGUGGAAUUGCCUGUGAUACUGAGGAGCUUGAGUGCGGUUGAGGCAGUUGGAAUUGGUGGUGUAGCGGUGAAAUGCAUAGAUACCACCAGGAACACCGAUUGCGUAGGCAGGUUGCUAAGCCGUAACUGACACUGAGGCACGAAAGCGUGGGGAGCAAACAGG
This 253-nucleotide ribosomal RNA is filed under the name uncultured bacterium. RNAcentral's name for it is "partial 16S ribosomal RNA". It matches the Rfam family "Bacterial small subunit ribosomal RNA", at positions 524 to 776 of the family's 1533-position model. The record is from RNAcentral.